CCCUUAGAUGUUCUGGGCCGCACGCGCGCUACACUGAUGAAGGCAGCGAGUCUUCCUUGGCCGAAAGGUCUGGGUAAUCUUGUGAAACUUCAUCGUGAUGGGGAUAGACCAUUGCAAUUAUUGGUCUUGAACGAGGAAUUCCUAGUAAGCGCGAGUCAUCAGCUCGCGUUGAUUACGUCCCUGCCCUUUGUACACACCGCCCGUCGCUACUACCGAUUGAAUGGCUUAGUGAGGCCUUGGGAUUCUGGGCGGCCAGAAAUGGCUGCUCGGGAGAACUUGUCCAAACUUGGUCAUUUAGAGGAAGUAAAAGUCGUAACA
This 318-nucleotide ribosomal RNA is filed under the name uncultured eukaryote. Its description in RNAcentral is "partial 18S ribosomal RNA". It matches the Rfam family "Eukaryotic small subunit ribosomal RNA", at positions 1470 to 1796 of the family's 1831-position model. The record is from RNAcentral.